RNAcentral lists this ribosomal RNA (496 nucleotides) under uncultured bacterium. Its description in RNAcentral is "partial 16S ribosomal RNA". It matches the Rfam family "Bacterial small subunit ribosomal RNA", at positions 29 to 523 of the family's 1533-position model. The record is from RNAcentral.
AUUGAACGCUGGCGGCAUGCUUUACACAUGCAAGUCGAACGGUAGAGGGGGCAACCCCUUGAGAGUGGCGAACGGGUGAGUAAUGCAUCGGAACGUGCCCAGUCGUGGGGGAUAACGCAGCGAAAGCUGUGCUAAUACCGCAUACGAUCUCUGGAUGAAAGCGGGGGACCGAAAGGCCUCGCGCGAUUGGAGCGGCCGAUGUCAGAUUAGGUAGUUGGUGGGGUAAAGGCUCACCAAGCCAACGAUCUGUAGCUGGUCUGAGAGGACGACCAGCAAAACUGGGACUGAGAGACGGCCCAGACUCCUACGGGAGGCAGCAGUGGGGAAUGGUGGACAAUGGGCGCAAGCCUGAUCCAGCAAUGCCGCGUGCAGGAAGAAGGCCUUCGGGUUGUAAACUGCUUUUGUACGGAACGAAAAGGUCUGGGUUAAUACCCUGGGCACAUGACGGUACCGUAAGAAUAAGCACCGGCUAACUACGUGCCAGCCGCCGCGGUAA